GGACACGAUUUGUUUUUCGUUUCUUGUUUUGUUCUUAUAUCAGGUCGUUAGUUUUCUCGUUUGAUUUUAUUUUUUACAUUUUUCAUUUUGGGGCCUUUUAUAGCUUACUAUGCGUUAUGGAUUUUUCUCAUUGUUAUAGGCCGUACGAUGGCCUAUAGUUGUUAACUUAUAUGUAAUUUGGUCUCUAGUAGAUAGUUGUCUAAUUGGCAAUCAGUAAUGUUCAAGUUUUACAUGUAAUAAGUUAAAGCCCUUUCUACAUAAGAAAAUGCCUGUACAUAGUCAGGAAUAUGACAGUUGUUAUCCAUUCGUUUGAUGUGUUUGGGCUUAUGAUUUUGCCAUUUGAUUAGGGACUUUCUUUUUUUAAUUUUCCUCGGAGUUCAGUAUUUAAAUGUGAUUUUACUUUUUUCAAUAGCUUCAAAAUUUGGUGAUAAAGUGUCGGAAAUUGAACAUGGUGAGAUCAUCCCUAUUCAAUAGUACCGCAUUCCACUUUCAAUGUAACCAACUCCUGCAGUUUGAGAAUUUAUUGUACAUGUUGACUUUGCAAUUGUUUGUGCCUCUGAACUCAUAAUUGUGGC
RNAcentral lists this long non-coding RNA (575 nucleotides) under Mytilus galloprovincialis (Mediterranean mussel). The record is from RNAcentral. Lineage: Eukaryota; Metazoa; Mollusca; Bivalvia; Mytilida; Mytilidae.